RNAcentral lists this ribosomal RNA (498 nucleotides) under uncultured bacterium. RNAcentral describes it as "bacterial SSU rRNA". It matches the Rfam family "Bacterial small subunit ribosomal RNA", at positions 66 to 543 of the family's 1533-position model. The record is from RNAcentral.
ACGCGAAAGUCCCCUUCGGGGGAUGAGUAGAGUGGCGCACGGGUGAGUAACACGUAGGUAAUCUACCUUCGGAUGGGGAAUAACAACCGGAAACGGUUGCUAAUACCGCAUAAUGCAGCGGCACCUAAUGGUGACAGUUGUUAAAGCGGGGGAUCGUAAGACCUCGCGUCUGAAGAGGAGCCUGCGGCAGAUUAGCUAGUUGGUAAGGUAAUGGCUUACCAAGGCGAUGAUCUGUAGCCGGCCUGAGAGGGCGGUCGGCCACACUGACACUGACAUACGGGUCAGACUCCUACGGGAGGCAGCAGUCGGGAAUUUUGGGCAAUGGGCGAAAGCCUGACCCAGCAACGCCGCGUGAAGGAUGAAAUCCUUCGGGAUGUAAACUUCGCAAGAACGGGAAGAAUAAGUAGGGGACAAUACCCCCUAUGAUGACGGUACUGUUUGUAAGCUCCGGCUAACUCCGUGCCAGCAGCCGCGGUAAUACGGGGGGAGCAAGCGUUG